GCGAAACGCCCCCCCCCCCCACCCCCGGGUCGGGGCAGCCUGGGCGGAGCGGAGGUUGAGCAAGUGGGCAGCGGCUGUGAGACCGGGCUCGCCUCAGAGGACUCGCUCGUCUCGGGCGCCCCUCGGUGCGUGUGACGGAGGUAAGCGCCCGCAGCCCCCCGCCCGCAGGCCGGGACGCCUUCCUCGUCAGGGAUCCCCAGACCGAACGCGGACGCCCUUAGCGCGGGUGCCGGCGAGUCAGCCGGUCACGGCCCGGUCACGCGAGCGUGAAAACGCAUACGCGCACGCGCGGCCUCCGUGUGAAGGGACGAGAGCAGCGCGGUACGUCCCGCACGAGGAAGCCUGACCCGCAACAAGUGUGCGCGAGGGCUGGACGGGGCGCCGCGGUUCUGAGACCCCCCUCCAGAAAAACGGAAUAUUCUCGUUUUCUUCGGAGUCCAGAGCAGAGUCCACACACACCAUUUCAUCCACAACCAUCUCAGUAUUAGCCUAUAAAGACCAGGCCUACCUUGUAAAACAAAACUCAACUCUACCAUCCAAUGAAAAAAUCUGGGGAGCACGCGUUACGCCCCGCGUCCCGUAAUAUUCUUCCUUUGUAAAUAGCUGUUCAAAUGAGUAUCAGAUGAAGGGCGAGGGGGGAUCGCCAGGGGUAGACAAAACCACCCUGGGAACAACCCCCGUCUGCCUCAGAGAGGAACCUCCUUCCCACCGCGAUCUUGGAACUCCUGGUGCCUCGCCCGGCGGGACCCCUGGGCAGCCCCUCCUUUCUUACUUCCCAUCCCUUUCUCCUCUCCGGUUGGUUUCGGCUCUUUGGCCCCCCUAACACUCCUUGCCUCUGGAGCUGCCCCUCCAGCCACCCCAUCGAGGUCGGGAGCAGUGGCCACGCCCUCCGACCCCACUCGCUUCUCAGCACCUUCAUCCGGGCCCACCUGGCCACUGAACCCAAGCCUCGGUCAGCGCCAGUGACUUGCUGAACACCGAAGCCGAUGGCUGCUCACCGGUUUUCAUCUUCGCAAAGCUCUCUCCGAGACCUUGUUUGUCUUUGGGUUCCAAGACCCUGCGCGGCCUAACCUUGGGUCUCCACCUCGAAUGGCUCCUCGGUCUCCUGCACUGGCUGCUCUCCCUCUCCCACCCCUGGAGAGAAGACCUUUCCUUUCCUCUCCCUGUGCUCCUCUUUGGCAGUCUCCUGUCUGCACGAUUACCCUGAGAUACUGUCACGCUUUACAGACAGGUUAAAUAACUUGCCCCAGACUCGCCUCAUACGUAGCAGAGCCAAGGUUCAAACCAGGUCCGACUCGCUCUGAGGGCGGUGGCUUCACGACCACGCUGUGCCGGCAACCACAGCUGCGUGCUGGGUGACUGCGUAUAACGUACGAGGUGGAGAAACCCCCUGCACCUGUCACCCAGCUCCAGCCGAUGGUCUAGUCGUGCUUUUCCGCUUUCCCAGGAGACUCUCACCUGCUUGUCCCUCGCUCUGGAUUCCUCUGAAGCAAGUCCCAGACACACCGUUUUGUUGAAACAACAGUGAAGAGUUUUGCCCAUAUUUCUUCACACCCUUGCUGUCUCCUGCUGACUCUGGUGCUUCCCCCACGUGGCCCUUCAUGGUAUGCUGUGCCCCCUGCUUCCAGAGAACUGUCAAAGGAAGCGCACGUGUGGGCUGGGGACAGCUUGGGAGAUGUGAUGUGAGCCCCCUCGUUCUCCCUCCUGACUCCUCCCUCUGCCAACAGAGGCCAAAUCAUACCUCCUACAGCUCCACGUUGGAUCUCGAGUGCCUGUCCCUGCUACCCUGGCAUCAUUACCUCUUUCAGGGACCUUACCAGUGGCUUUCCAACUAGCCUUUCCACAUCUGUUACUCACUCCCUCCAGUUUCCAGGGUCAUUCCACUGAAACGUGGAUCUGGGCCGGACACUCACUCACUCAGCAAACUCAUACUAAGAGGCUCCUAAGAGUCAGCUUCUGUAUUGAGCGUCAGGAGACAGAACGAUGACUGAGAUAUUGUGCCUCUUUACAGUCUAGUGGAGGAGCUAGAGCUACAAACAAAAUUCUAAAAUAAUGUGAAAAUGCAACAAUAUGAUGGUGAUAAACCAAGAGUCAUUGGAAGUUGUUGGCGUGGGAGGAGGCAGCCAACCUACCUGGGCAGUGUCCUGAAGAAGGUGAGUCUCAAAGGAUGAUUAGAAGUUAAGCGGGAGAGAGGGGAGGAAUGGAGAUCUCUGACGAGACAGGGAGGAAGCAACACGGCAUACGUAGGAGUAGCAACUUAGUGUGGCUAGCCCCUGAAGUGCCAGGGAGGGAGCGGUGACGGCUGAAUCCAAAAGUGGGCAAAGUCACCCCUGAACACAAAGUAAAAUCUCAAAUCCUCUGACAUCAGCAAAUACUUCCAGGUUUCUCCCACUGACGUCUCCGUGCUCCCCACCCCCAGUCUGCCCAUGUACGCACUCUGCUUCCUGAGGACUGCUUAUUUAUCCCCACCUCUGGGCACUGCACCAACUCUCUCCUGCCUAGACUGUCCUCCCUGUCUGCCCCUUCCUCCAGCCUUUCUUUCUAAAGUAAUUCAAAGUCUUCAUUCCCAAGAUUCUCCCUGCCUCGCCCCAGAACCACUCCCUCCUCACCCUCCUCCCCAGGGUGCCCUGCUUGUGUUUGCACUCCUGUGUUCUCUUUGCGUCCCCUCUAGGGUGGGGGCUCCUGGACAGAAGAGAACAAAUUCGCUUUACCCCCAAAACACGUCCCUUCAUAUAGUGAGUGCCACUAUACGUAUUGAAUUAAUUGGGGUCUUGAAUACUAAUGCCUCUUCUCCCAGUUUCGUGGCAUAGCUGUUGGGAAGGAAAGAAGGCUCAUUAGCUUGCCAUCCUGAGGGGGACCCAACAGUAGCUCUCUGAGGCUCUGCGAAACAACUUCCCCAACCGCCAGAACUGCCGUUGCUAUGGUUUCUCCCUCCCACCAGGAGUACUUAGGUGAAUGCUGAUUGAAGAACAGGGUUCCACUGGCCAAGGCCUUUUCAGGCCAUUUUAAGAGGGAAAAAAGUUGGUGAAAUGACAGAACGCCUUGAAAUUAUUCCGAUAUCAGAGCGCCGUGAGAAAAACUCACCACAGUGAGAAAUUAAUUGUGAGACCGCAGCCAAAAAUCUUUUUAGAGAUAAUGCUACAGAUCUCAUCCAUCAUUAGCCAACCUCAGAAACGUGAAGAUACUUGUUAACCUAAAUUUAUUUCUGGAUAUGACUUAUUAGACACUAAGACGAUUUAUUUUUACUUUUUUGCUAACAUAACUU
This is a long non-coding RNA of Leopardus geoffroyi (Geoffroy's cat), 3265 nucleotides long. RefSeq lists it as uncharacterized. The record is from RefSeq and is a predicted model, not a curated record. Lineage: Eukaryota; Metazoa; Chordata; Mammalia; Carnivora; Felidae. The transcript has 3 exons.